This 497-nucleotide ribosomal RNA is filed under the name uncultured bacterium. Its description in RNAcentral is "partial 16S ribosomal RNA". It matches the Rfam family "Bacterial small subunit ribosomal RNA", at positions 28 to 507 of the family's 1533-position model. The record is from RNAcentral.
GAUGAACGCUGGCGGCGUGCCUAAUACAUGCAAGUCGAGCGAACAGACGAGGAGCUUGCUCCUCUGACGUUAGCGGCGGACGGGUGAGUAACACGUGGAUAACCUACCUAUAAGACUGGGAUAACUUCGGGAAACCGGAGCUAAUACCGGAUAACAUGUUGAACCGCAUGGUUCAACAGUGAAAGACGGUCUUGCUGUCACUUAUAGAUGGAUCCGCGCCGCAUUAGCUAGUUGGUAAGGUAACGGCUUACCAAGGCAACGAUGCGUAGCCGACCUGAGAGGGUGAUCGGCCACACUGGAACUGAGACACGGUCCAGACUCCUACGGGAGGCAGCAGUAGGGAUUCUUCCGCAAUGGGCGAAAGCCUGACGGAGCAACGCCGCGUGAGUGAAGAAGGUCUUCGGAUCGUAAAACUCUGUUAUUAGGGAAGAACAAAUGUGUAAGUAACUAUGCACGUCUUGACGGUACCUAAUCAGAAAGCCACGGCUAACUACGUG